This 255-nucleotide ribosomal RNA is filed under the name uncultured bacterium. Its description in RNAcentral is "partial 16S ribosomal RNA". It matches the Rfam family "Bacterial small subunit ribosomal RNA", at positions 524 to 776 of the family's 1533-position model. The record is from RNAcentral.
UACGAAGGGGGCUAGCGUUGCUCGGAAUGACUGGGCGUAAAGGGCGCGUAGGCGGAUUGUACAGUCAGGCGUGAAAUUCCCGGGCUCAACCUGGGGGGCUGCGCUUGAGACGUGCGAUCUUGAGUGGGGAAGAGGGUCGUGGAAUUCCCAGUGUAGAGGUGAAAUUCGUAGAUAUUGGGAAGAACACCGGUGGCGAAGGCGGCGACCUGGUCCCUUGACUGACGCUGAGGCGCGAAAGCGUGGGGAGCAAACAGG